RNAcentral lists this non-coding RNA (119 nucleotides) under Desulfuromonas soudanensis. Its description in RNAcentral is "MoCo sequence". It matches the Rfam family "Molybdenum/Tungsten riboswitch aptamer (Moco RNA motif)". The record is from RNAcentral. Lineage: Bacteria; Pseudomonadati; Thermodesulfobacteriota; Desulfuromonadia; Desulfuromonadales; Desulfuromonadaceae.
GCGCCGCUGAAUCUCCGAACCGCUGCGCCUACGGAAAAAUUUCUAUGGCAAGCGGUCUACGGGUCCUGCCGGAAACGGCUCGGCCUCCCAUUGUGGAAAGGAGAUACCAGGCUUCUUCG